UUGUAAGUCAUACUGAAAUUACAGUCCUCAAGCACACAAAUUACAGUGUAAUACUCUAGGGAUAAGACAGUAAAAGUCUGAUGAAUUACAUUGUAAGUCAUACUGAAAUUACAGUCCUCAAACAUACAAAUUUACAAUGUAAGUCUAGGGAAAUACAAUGUAAAACUCUGGUGAAUUGCAUUGUAAGUCAUACAAAAAUUGCAUUGUAACCAUACAAAUUACAGUGUAAAACUCUAGGGAAAUACACUAUAAUUACAUGAGUGGUUGGGCUAAAUUUACAAAGUAAACUACACAGUGAUCUGGGAGUAUACACAGUGACUCCAGGGCAUAAAAACACUGUAAAUCUGGGCGAAUACACUGUAAAUUACAUGAGUAAUUGAGCUAAAUUACUGUGAACAUAAAUAGGACAAAUUACACAGUGAUUCCAGGCAUAAUAUACUGAAAAAUCUGCAUAUACACAGUACAUGAGUAAUUGGGCUAAAUUCCUGUGAACAUACUAGGACAAAUUACACAGUGAUUCCGGGCAUAAAUACAUUGAAAAAUCUUGCAUAUCUGGGAAUAUACACUGGAAUUAGGGGGGAAAUUACACAAUACUGAU
This 598-nucleotide long non-coding RNA is filed under the name Triticum aestivum (bread wheat). RNAcentral's name for it is "long non-coding RNA (TAES_LNC025753)". Lineage: Eukaryota; Viridiplantae; Streptophyta; Magnoliopsida; Poales; Poaceae. The record is from RNAcentral.